AUUGAACGCUGGCGGCAUGCCUUACACAUGCAAGUCGAACGGCAGCACGGGAGCAAUCCUGGUGGCGAGUGGCGAACGGGUGAGUAAUAUAUCGGAACGUGCCCAGUCGUGGGGGAUAACGUAGCGAAAGCUACGCUAAUACCGCAUACGAUCUAUGGAUGAAAGCGGGGGAUCGCAAGACCUCGCGCGAUUGGAGCGGCCGAUAUCAGAUUAGGUAGUUGGUGAGGUAAAGGCUCACCAAGCCGACGAUCUGUAGCUGGUCUGAG
This 266-nucleotide ribosomal RNA is filed under the name uncultured bacterium. Its description in RNAcentral is "partial 16S ribosomal RNA". It matches the Rfam family "Bacterial small subunit ribosomal RNA", at positions 30 to 296 of the family's 1533-position model. The record is from RNAcentral.